This 6076-nucleotide long non-coding RNA is filed under the name Sus scrofa (pig). Its description in RNAcentral is "lncRNA (ENSSSCG00000059445.1)". The record is from RNAcentral. Lineage: Eukaryota; Metazoa; Chordata; Mammalia; Artiodactyla; Suidae.
ACCCAGGGUGUUCUAAAGAUAGAGGCAAAGCUGCUUACAGAGUCAUAAAACAUAGUGCAAGUAUUGUGCCAGUGAUUUUGUGCCUACAUCUCAAGAUGUUGUGCAAAGGGCAUUUAUGCUAGAUUUUUUUUUUUUUUUUGUCUUUCUAUGGCAGCACCCCCAGCACAUGGUGGUUCCCAGGCUAGAGGUCAAAUCGGAGCUGUAGCCACCAGCCUAAACCAGAGCCACUGAAGUAUGCAGGAUCUGGGCCAUGUCUGUGACCUACACCACAGCUCACGGCGAUGCUGGAUCCUUAGCCCACUGAGCGAGGCCAUGGAUCAAACUGGUAUCCUCAUGGAUGCUAGUCGGGUUUAUUAACCGCGGAGCCACAACUGGAACUCCAUAUGCUAGAUUAUUUUAAGAGUAUGUAACUUUAGGUAGGUAUCUGGCUCAAAAAUAGAGGAUUCAUCCUUUUUUUCAAGGCCAGUAUGUAGCUUAGUAAAUUGCAAAUUAAUACAAUCAUUAAGAUGAAACUUUAUACAAAUCAAGAAUUUAUUGACUUCUUUUUGAGAACAAAUAAUGCCCUAGUUACUCUGCAUAAUUCAUAAAUCGCCUAUUGUCCACCAGAGUGUCCCAGGCAUUUGCCGCAUGAUGGAAGAAGAAAGCUUACCUUUCAGGUGUUCCGUAGAUGCUGUGGCUCCUUUCCUGCCAUCUUUCCAGAGCCCUCCUUUGAAUGCCAGUAAGCUAAGCACCCCCAUUGCUCACACUGGAAUCCCCGAAAGGAUUAUAACCAAAGCAAAAGCCCUCUGGUGGAAGAUCUGUUUGUAACUCUAUUACAUACUACGCGACUGUUAACUAGAGGGAUUCUCAAUAGUUCUUUUAGGAGCCAUUUUAUGCUUUUUAAAAAAAUUGCUGCGUUUCUAAUGUCACUUGGGUGUGUAGUCUAAAUAUUUAAUGUUUCACAUAACAAAAAAAAAGAACACUGCAUUUGAUGUUAAAGAGCACAUACCAACCACAUAGAAGGGAAGAAUAGAACAAUAGAAAUUCCAAAUUUCCAUUUUAGAAAACUGACUAAAUGUAUGGUGUACCAUUCUCACUUUUAAAUAUGACAUAAAUUACAGCUGGACCAGAUGGCACAAGAGAACCUAGAGGAAAAUAGCAAAGAAAAGUUAAGCUUUUAUUUUUCUUUAUUUGAGCUCCUGCUGCAUCUCCUCUACGUAGAAGGGCAGUUAUAGUCCAUGGUGUUAGCAUAGGAGGACCAAAAUUUAUUAGUGUUUAAAAAUAGCUUGGUGACCUCAAGAGAUUUAUGGAUACUUAGUUCUUGUUCUGCCAGCUUCUAUUGGAUUUGUGUACAUUUCCAAAGCUUCAAUUUCCUCAGCUGAAAUUGGAGGGGAUAUUCCAUCUAAUAAUAAUACCCAUUUGUAUAUUUAGUAUUUACUUUGUGCCACACACAGUACUAAGAAGUUGACAUGUAUUAUUUCAUUUAAUCUUCGCAACAACCCAGCAAGUUAGCAAUGUGACCCAAUGGAUAUGAUAUUACAAUUAGAACCAGGCUCCUAAAGAGAAAAUCUAUAUACCUGAAAACAAUAUAAAUCUUAAAAACUCCAUCUAGUCUAAAAUUUUAUAAGAAUUUGGCCUUGGACUUAGCUAAUGUCAACUGCACAUGAAAUUUCCUGUUUCUGAUGAAAAUCAUCAAUGAGCAAAAUAGGUAUGCUGUUUCUGGGUCACCUGGCAUUCCUUCAGCCCUGGAAGGGACUUUCAUUAAUCUCCUCCAUCAUUCCCUCUCUUGCGACUGCCCAUUUUGUUUUUUUCUUAAGAGGUUUUCAUUUCCACUGCAUUCAAAACUCUCCUUUAGACUAUCUAGUUUUAUGUUUAGAAAGUUAAGCUAUUCUCAUAAUUUUAUCAAAUAGCCAGUAAAGUCCUAUUGGUAUUUUGAUCAGCAUUGUGUUUAACAUACACUGUAACUUGAGGAAAUUUGACAUCUCUAAUUAUUCUUUAACUACUCAGUCUUACCACAGAAGAGUGUGAUAUCCCCAUAAUUGUGUUUUUUAAAAUAUUCCCCAGGGAAUUCCCGUCGUGGCGCAGUGGUUAACGAAUCCGACUAGGAACCAUGAGGUUGAGGGUUCGGUCCCUGCGCUUGUUCAGUGGGUUAACGAUCCGGUGUUGCCCUGAGCUGUGGUGUAGGUUGCAGACGCGGCUCGGAUCCCGCGUUGCUGUGGCUCUGGCGUAGGCUGGAGACUACAGCUCAGAUUCGACCCCUAGCCUGGAAACCUCCAUGUGCCGCGGGAGCGGCCCAAGAAAUAGCAAAAAGACAAAAAAAAAUAAUAAAAUAAAAUAAAAAUGUGUAAGGCUUAUAUGUACUUUAAAAUUUAAAAAAAAUAUAUAUAUAUAUAUUCCCCAAUGAUAUUUUAUAUACUUCAGCAAUAAAAUUUUAGGUCUAACACAUUGCUUCUCAAAUUAAUGUACAGUUAUUUUCUUUUUUCUCAUUAGUCCCUUUCUCACUUACUGGCACCUUUCCCUGAUCCUCUCUAUGCUCCGUGAAAUAUGGAUGUUGAAACACUUUUAUCUUUUGGUUUCUUAUACUCCAAUUAUGCUAUCUCAUCCAUUCCAAUGUUCACAGCUGUCAUCUGUACAUAUGCGACUUCCACAUUUACACAUUAACCCAGUCUAUCAGAUACCUUUUGCACUCCAAACUCAGAAUAUCUAGAACCAAAUUAAUUAUUUCUGAGGAUAAAUUCAUACAUUGACUUCCAUAUUUUGGUUAAUAGUAUUACAAUGCAUCUCCAAAUUCAAAAUAUUAGGGCCAGCUUCGGCUUUUCUCUCUUUCUAUAUGCAGUCAACAGCCAGGUCUUUGAGCAUUAAGUUUCAUGAUGUUUCCAGCAUCCAUCCCUUUGUCUCUGCAGUCAUAACUACUACCCCAGUUUGUGCUCUCCUUAACUCCUAUCUGGAUUAUCGCCUUGGUCUUUAAACCUGCCUUCUUUCUUCCAUUUUCUUUUCUUCCCUCCCAACCAGCUUGAUGACCAUCUUGUUCAUCCUUCUGUGAUACAAUAUCAUUUCAGGUGAUUCCAGAUUCAGGACCCUGCGGUGGUCCACAGUGACUUCUUGCCUGAGUACAAGUUUCUUAAUUUAGAAGGCAAGACCCCCUUACACCAAUUUCCUUUCUGUUCUCCUUUUCAAAUGGGUCCUACUCUUCAACCAUUACACUAUCCUGCAACUGAACCAUUCUGUUCUCUAGAAGUAUCUGAUAAUUUCAUUCAUCUGGUCCUGCUCCAGCUGUUCCCCUGAGUACCUUCUUACUCACCUCUACCUGGUGGGCCCUUCCUUCUUUAAAGCCAUAGGAUAACUCCCUCUCUUCAUGUCUUAAUUUUGGAAACUUAUCCUGGCAGGACCGGAAUAUAAUGCUGUUUAUGUACUUGUCUCUUCUCCAUUUCCAGAUCUUUCAAAUCUUUAACUGCAGAAAUUGAUCUUACUCAUCUUUCAUUCAAAUCAGUGUUUUGUUCACAUUUAGAGUUCUCUAAAUAUUUAUUAAAACAAAUUAAAUAGACCCAAUUAUCAUAGGAAUUGCCAGUUCAGACUGAGAAACAAAUGCCUUAUUUUAAUUAGAUUCACAAGGUGCCCUGGUUAAAAUGAAACCUGAGGUAAUGCGGAUUUCUUCACUUUGGCCUUACUUAACUCAAAUUUUAAUUUAAGGUGAGCAGCUGAGAACCUCUGAUUACAAAAUCCUGCAUGUCAAUGGGUUUUUUUUUUUUAAUAGCUAAAAUGAGUUAUUUGUUAGAAAUGAAUCAUUGCAGCUAGGUAUUUGAUUCAAAAUCUGUGAUUUAUGACUUAGACUGGAAUUUUGCAGGAACAAUGUCACAUAAUACCAGAAAACACCAUUUGUUUUCAUGUACUAUUUAAAUUACACUUAUACCAAGUUACAGCGAUAUUUAAAAAGUAAUAUUAGGUGCUUCCUUACAUUUACCACAUUUUUUAUCAGAGUAGAACUGAAUUCAAACUUACUGAAUGGGGAACACUUCUUCCACAAAAAUGUUGCUUCUGAAUAACUAAUCAAACAAGAAACCUAUUCAGGUUUAUAUUUUUGCCUUCCUUUGUUCUGUGAAUUUCAUUUGUAUUUUUUAAAUGAAUAUAUUCAUGCCCCUGGGUUUUCCCUUCUGAAGUGGGAUUCAUAACAUAUCUCCAAGCUAAACCCAUAGCACAUUAUAAAAAAUAAUAUAGAUAAAAUUUUCUGUUGGAUGUUGUGAAGGUUAUUUUUCUAAAAUGGAUUUAGACCAGAAUAUUCACAGGCAGAAGUGCCUUACCUAAGAUAUUUAUUGACUUUGAUGGAAGUCCAAACAAGGCCUUAGUGUAUUCUGGAGGAAAGCGGCAAUGACACAUCUUAAAAUAGUAGGUAACUAGGUACCUUGGUGAAUGUGAAAUAAAGUACCUCCUAACUGUAAGAAUGAUCAGGGGUUUGUUUGCAGCUUUCCUUCAUCUUUUUUUAUGAUGUUAAGAGGAAACAUUGAUUAUCUUACUGUCAUCCUUAGUCCAGAAAUAGCUGCAAUUCACAUUGCCUGUAUUUUAAAAUUCUAACCAAUAAUUGAAAGGUUAAUAUCUCCCUUUAUUACUAGCAACAUUUUAAAUUCCCUAGGUGUUUUGCGUAUGAUUACAAACCACAAAAUAAUAUGCUUUGUGGAAGGUAGUCCUGACUCCCACAUUUCCACCUAUCCCCAAUUAAGGAUAGCAAAUGUAUUUUAAUGAAGAAUUUUUGUUUCUGGGGGGUCUUUUUCCUUUGAAGUGGCAGUGUACUUGUUUGUUUUGACUACUUGUUUUGCAACAGAGGUACAAAUUUGGCAAGGAAGCAGUGGCAUUCACCUCUGUUUCCCUGGAGAUCAAUUGUGGGCAUUUAUUAGGUGUUUGAUGGUGACUUUAUAGGUCAGAAAUCCAGAAUUUAGGUACCAUGUAGAAUGGAACAAACUAAACCAACUCACAUGGGAACUGAAUUUAAAACCAACAAACUAAAUGGGUGAACAAACAAUAAAAAGAUCCAGCUGAUUUGAAAAAUGAACACUUCAAUUUUUUUAAAGCCAUGUUCAGAGCUUCUAGUCAAAGGCAUUUCUGGAUACAACUCCAAAUAACACUCCUUUUAAAAAUAUUCAUAGUAGUAUCUUACUCAUUCAUUUGUACCUAUUGAGAUGAGUACUUACUAUGCACUACUGGUACCAACAGUCCCUUUUUCUCAGAGAAUUUACUAUUGCAUGAUAGGAGGCAAAUUAAAAAUAAGAGGAUUUCGCAGGGUUAACCUGUUCUGAAAAGCAGUACUGCAUUUAAAAAAAAAAAAAAAAAAGAAUUCCAUAGUUAGAUAUGUUUUGGAAAUGUUUAAUCUUCAUUGUGCGUCUCUAAGAGGAAAAUAUGGUGUGUAGCAUUUCACAAUCUUAUUAGACUUAUGAAAACAUCUUUGUGCACAGUAUGUAGCAACUCCUGUGUUCUGUAGAACACACUUUGCAAAUUGGUUAUGUAUAACAUGCAUAAGUAGCUUUAUAGCUUAUAUACCAUUUAUAGGAUAUUAAUACAAAAUUUAUACAAGCCACAUAUCUAGACUAUGUUUCAUGAUAGCUUUUUGAAGUACAUUAAACUAAUUUUCUAAAACAGAACUUUAAUAUAAUCUUAAAAGCUCUAUGUAACAGGCAUUCUGUAGAAAAAUUAUAACUUAAGGAAUAUGUAUUCACCUUGCCUCCAAUAAGAGAAAUAAAUGUAUUGUCAAUUUUAUAGCCAAAAUAUGAAAUUUUACUUGGCACUAUUUUUCCUAUUUGCAAGACCUUAAAAAAGAAACUAAAAUAAGGAAUAUGGCAAGCACAUCUAUCAUUUUGAAAUAUAAAGGUGUGCAACUACAUAAGUAUGCCCAAGAAUUCCCAUUGUGGCUCAGUGAUAAUGAAUCCAACUAGUAUCCAUGAAGACGCAGGUUUGAUCCAUAGCCCUGUUCAGUGUGUUAAGGAUCUGGAAUUGUCAUGAACUGUGGUGUAAGUCACAAACAUGGCUCAGUUACUGCAUUGCUGUGGUUGUGGCACAGGCCAGCAGCUGCAGCCUACAUUAGACCCCUAGCCUGGGAACUUACAUAUGC